UGGGGAAUAUUGCACAAUGGGCGAAAGCCUGAUGCAGCAACGCCGCGUGAGUGAUGAAGGCCUUCGGGUUGUAAAACUCUGUCUUCAGGGACGAUAAUGACGGUACCUGAGGAGGAAGCCACGGCUAACUACGUGCCAGCAGCCGCGGUAAUACGUAGGUGGCAAGCGUUGUCCGGAUUUACUGGGCGUAAAGGGAGCGUAGGCGGAUACUUAAGUGGGAUGGGAAAUACCCGGGCUCAACUUGGGUGCUGCAUUCCAAACUGGGUGUCUAGAGUGCAGGAGAGGAAAGUGGAAUUCCUAGUGUAGCGGUGAAAUGCGUAGAGAUUAGGAAGAACACCAGUGGCGAAGGCGACUUUCUGGACUGUAACUGACGCUGAGGCUCGAAAGCGUGGGGAGCAAACA
This 402-nucleotide ribosomal RNA is filed under the name uncultured bacterium. RNAcentral describes it as "bacterial SSU rRNA". It matches the Rfam family "Bacterial small subunit ribosomal RNA", at positions 355 to 774 of the family's 1533-position model. The record is from RNAcentral.